Molecule: ribosomal RNA, 360 nt
Filed under: uncultured bacterium
Lineage: Bacteria
Description: bacterial SSU rRNA
Rfam family: Bacterial small subunit ribosomal RNA
Source: RNAcentral
UUCCGCAAGGAAUGAGUAGAGUGGCAAACGGGUGAGUAACACGUGGGUGACCUGCCUUCGAGUGGGGGAUAACGUCCCGAAAGGGACGCUAAUACCGCAUAAUAUUUUGCCUUUGAAGAGGUGGCAAUCAAAGCUGGGGAUCGCAAGACCUAGCGCUGGAAGAGGGGCCCGCGUCUGAUUAGCUAGUUGGUGAGGUAAUGGCUCACCAAGGCAACGAUCAGUAUCCGGCCUGAGAGGGCGGACGGACACACUGGGACUGAGACACGGCCCAGACUCCUACGGGAGGCAGCAGUGGGGAAUUGUUCGCAAUGGGCGCAAGCCUGACGACGCAACGCCGCGUGGAGGAUGAAGACCUUCGGG